Molecule: long non-coding RNA, 940 nt
Filed under: Oryzias sinensis (Chinese medaka)
Lineage: Eukaryota; Metazoa; Chordata; Actinopteri; Beloniformes; Adrianichthyidae
Description: lncRNA (ENSOSIG00000013950.1)
Source: RNAcentral
GUGCGUCCGGCACCCCCAUGGAAGCAAAGAUGGGUCGGGGUGCAUUCAUGACCACCACUGGAGCGGGUUGUGGUGCGUCCGGGACCACCACCGGAACAGGAUCGGAUUGGGGUGCAGCCGGCACUUCGGUCUUCAGCCCUGAUUCAUUUGGUAAGUAUUGUUCACGUUUUUCUUUUUAAAUGAAAUGCUUUAAAUAUGCUCUUAUUUACUACUUUAAAUGUGGUUUACUGUUGUUUAAACAUACGUGUUACGAUCAUUGUAGAGCUUAAUGUGACAAAUGUUCAUUGGUUAGUCGUAGCAUAUGGCGAGCUGUUCAAACCAAAAUGUAUUUCUGCCCGUAAGUUACGACAGUGAAGACUUUUUUUCAGAGGUAGAAAUGAUCUGUUAUGCUGCAAUCACACUAAACGUGAUCCGUGAGUGAAAUUCGCAUCAGAGCCCUCUGUUUGUGGCUAAAGUUUGCUGCUGGACACAUGUCCAAAACUGUCACAGACUCAAAGCCUCUAACGGUUGUGUGGGAGGAGUUAACGCCAAAGGUUUUAAGCCUGGUUGCUACAUGGAAGCAUUGGGUUGUGAAUGCAGCUUCAAGCUUUUUCAAAUCACUGAUCUCCAUUUUAAAAUGUUUUUUUGUAAAAAUCAAUCAAUCAAUGUGCUCUUGUUGUGUUCAGUGUUUCACUGCCAGGUAGACGCCAAGGCCAGCCAGAUACUGAACUUCAAAGAGUUCACCAGAAAGUCACCAUUUCACCAGAAAAGAGCUGUCAGUGGGCUGAAGGUGGCACAUUGGAAUGGAGGUGUAAGUUGUGUUCUGUUACUUUAGCAGUAUUACUACAUAGACAAUAUUCCAAAGUGUCUCCACAGACAUGGCAGUGGAGACACUUUGGAAUAUUGUCAUGUCUCUAUUACAGUUGCAUUAGCACCUUUCCAUCAUUUGAAACCAUGGAAG